Molecule: ribosomal RNA, 1412 nt
Filed under: uncultured Bordetella sp.
Lineage: Bacteria; Pseudomonadati; Pseudomonadota; Betaproteobacteria; Burkholderiales; Alcaligenaceae
Description: partial 16S-23S ribosomal RNA intergenic spacer
Rfam family: Bacterial small subunit ribosomal RNA
Source: RNAcentral
AGUCGAACGGCAGCACGGACUUGGUCUGGUGGCGAGUGGCGAACGGGUGAGUAAUGUAUCGGAACGUGCCUGGUAGCCGGGGGAUAACUGCAUAAAGCGUAGCUAAUACCGCAUACGCCCUUCGGGGAAAAGCGGGGGACCUUCGGGCCUCGCACUAUUAGAGCGGCCGAUAUCGGAUUAGCUAGUUGGUGGAGUAACGGCUCACGGGCGACAGCGAUCGUAGCUGGUUUUGGGGAGGACGACCAGCCACACUGGGACUGAGACGUGAACUCCUACGGAGGCAGCAGUGGGGAAUUUUGGACAAUGGGAAACCCUGAUCCAGCCAUCCCGCGUGUGCGAUGAAGGCCUUCGGGUUGUAAAGCACUUUGGCGGGAAAACGGCACCGGGAUAUUACCCCGUGCAACUGACGAGCACCUGCAAGAAUAAGCACCGGCUAACUACGUGCCAGCAGCCGCGUCAACACGGUGCAGCGAUAAUCGAUUACUGGGCGUAAAGCGUGCGCAGGCGGUUCGGAAAGAAAGAUGGUGAAAUCCCAGAGCUGCUGGAGCACGUUUUUAACUACCGAGCUAGAGAGUGUGUCAGAGGGAGGUGGAAUUCCGCGAUAAUAUGCAGUGAAAUGCGUAGAUAUGCGGAGGAACACCGAUAGCGAAGGCAGCCUCCUGGGAUAACACUGACGCUCAUGCGAAAGCGUGGGAGCAAACGAGUUAGAUGCCCUGGUAGUCCACGCCCUAAACGAUGUCAACUAGCUGUUGGGGCCUUCCGGGCCUUGGUAGCGCAGCUAACGCGUGAAGUUGACCGCCUGGGAAAUACAGUCGCAAGAUUAAAACUCAAAGGAAUUGAAAAGGCGGGGAUUACCUGACGGCGAAGUGGAUGAUGGAUGUGUUAAAUUCAACAUGAAAAACCUUACCUACCCUUGACAUGUCUAGAUCGAAGAGAUUUGGGAGUGCUCGCAAGAGAACCGGAACACAGGUGCUGCAUGGCUGUCGUCAGCUCAUGUCGUGAGAUGUUGGGUUAAGUCCCGCAACGGCGCAACCCUUGUCGUUAGUUGCUACGAAGGAGCACUCUAAUGAGACUGCCGGUGACAAGCCGGAGGAAGGUGAGGAUGAUCAGGUCCUCAUGGCCCUUAUGGGUGAGCCACACGUCAUGCAAUGGUCGGGACAGAGGGUCGCCAACCCGCGAGGAGCCAAUCCCAGAAACCCGAUCGUAGUCCGGAUCGCAGUCUGCAACUCUGACCUGCAGUGAAGUCGGAAUCGCUAGUAAUCGCGGAUCGGCAUGUCGCGGUGAAUGACCCGGGUCUUGUACACCGCCCGUCACACCAUGGGAGUGGGUUUUACCAAGUAGUUAGCCUAACCGUAAGGAGGGCGAUUACCACGGUAGGAUUCAUGACUGGGGUGAAGUCGUAGCUAAGGUAG